AUUGAACGCUGGCGGCAGGCCUAACACAUGCAAGUCGAGCGGAUGAAGGGAGCUUGCUCCUGGAUUCAGCGGCGGACGGGUGAGUAAUGCCUAGGAAUCUGCCUGGUAGUGGGGGAUAACGUCCAGAAACGGGCGCUAAUACCGCAUACGUCCUGAGGGAGAAAGUGGGGGAUCUUCGGACCUCACGCUAUCAGAUGAGCCUAGGUCGGAUUAGCUAGUUGGUGGGGUAAAGGCCUACCAAGGCGACGAUCCGUAACUGGUCUGAGAGGAUGAUCAGUCACACUGGAACUGAGGCACGGUCCAGACUCCUACGGGAGGCAGCAGUGGGGAAUAUUGGACAAUGGGCGAAAGCCUGAUCCAGCCAUGCCGCGUGUGUGAAGAAGGUCUUCGGAUUGUAAAGCACUUUAAGUUGGGAGGAAGGGCAGUAAGUUAAUACCUUGCUGUUUCGACGUUACCAACAGAAUAAGCACCGGCUAACUUCGUG
This 484-nucleotide ribosomal RNA is filed under the name uncultured bacterium. RNAcentral's name for it is "partial 16S ribosomal RNA". It matches the Rfam family "Bacterial small subunit ribosomal RNA", at positions 30 to 507 of the family's 1533-position model. The record is from RNAcentral.